GGUCAGUUGACCCCUUUAGGAGUUAUUGCCCUUUAUAGUCAAUUUUUAACCAUUUUUCGUAAAUCUUAGUAAUCUUUUACAAAAAUCUUCUCCUCUGAAACUACUGGGCCAAAUACUUCCAAACUUUAAUUGAAUGUUCCUUAGGGUAUCUAGUUUGUAAAUUGUAUCCGAAGUUAUGAUCUAUCUACAAACAUGGUCGCCAUUGCUAAAAAUAGAACAUAGGGGUCAAAUGCAGUUUUUGGCUUAUAACUCAAAAACCAAAGC
Molecule: long non-coding RNA, 264 nt
Filed under: Mytilus galloprovincialis (Mediterranean mussel)
Lineage: Eukaryota; Metazoa; Mollusca; Bivalvia; Mytilida; Mytilidae
Source: RNAcentral